Long non-coding RNA from Homo sapiens (human), 178 nucleotides. RefSeq lists it as uncharacterized. Lineage: Eukaryota; Metazoa; Chordata; Mammalia; Primates; Hominidae. The transcript has 2 exons. The record is from RefSeq and is a predicted model, not a curated record.
GAGAAAAGCAAAUAAUGGACCAUAAAUGGUGCCAACACGAGUGAUUCUAAAACCUUUUCCAAAUCCUCAGAGCCAUUACAGCUUGGGCAGAACAGAAAAGGAAGGAACUCAACGAAGUACAGCAUCUUUUCAGGCAGAGAGUUCAAUGCGCGUCAAUCAGAUGACCACUGCUGCCUGG